GAUCAUUAAAGAAAUUUAAUAAUUUUGAAAAUGGAUUUUUUUGUUUUGGCAAGAGCAUGAGAGCUUUUACUGGGCAAGAAGACAAGAGAUGGAGAGUCCAGCCGGGCCUGCGCUUAAGUGCGCGGUCUUGCUAGGCUUGUAAGUUUCUUUCUUGCUAUUCCAAACGGUGAGAGAUUUCUGUGCUUUUGUUAUAGGACAAUUAAAACCGUUUCAAUACAACACACUGUGGAGUUUUCAUAUCUUUGCAACUUUUUCUUUGGGCAUUCGAGCAAUCGGGGCCCAGAGGUAACAAACACAAACAAUUUUAUCUAUUCAUUAAAUUUUUGUCAAAAACAAGAAUUUUCGUAACUGGAAAUUUUAAAAUAUUAAAAACUUUCAACAACGGAUCUCUUGGUUCUCGCAUCGAUGAAGAACGCAGCGAAAUGCGAUACGUAAUGUGAAUUGCAGAAUUCCGUGAAUCAUCGAAUCUUUGAACGCACAUUGCGCCCCUUGGUAUUCCAGGGGGCAUGCCUGUUUGAGCGUCAUUUCCUUCUCAAACAUUCUGUUUGGUAGUGAGUGAUACUCUUUGGAGUUAACUUGAAAUUGCUGGCCUUUUCAUUGGAUGUUUUUUUUCCAAAGAGAGGUUUCUCUGCGUGCUUGAGGUAUAAUGCAAGUACGGUCGUUUUAGGUUUUACCAACUGCGGCUAAUCUU
Molecule: unclassified non-coding RNA, 691 nt
Filed under: Saccharomyces cerevisiae (brewer's yeast)
Lineage: Eukaryota; Fungi; Ascomycota; Saccharomycetes; Saccharomycetales; Saccharomycetaceae
Description: sequence contains 18S rRNA gene, ITS1, 5.8S rRNA gene, ITS2, 28S rRNA gene
Rfam family: 5.8S ribosomal RNA (bases 371-524)
Source: RNAcentral